Molecule: ribosomal RNA, 498 nt
Filed under: uncultured bacterium
Lineage: Bacteria
Description: partial 16S ribosomal RNA
Rfam family: Bacterial small subunit ribosomal RNA
Source: RNAcentral
GACGAACGCUGGCGGCGUGCCUAAUACAUGCAAGUCGAACGAGAGCGCCCGGUGCUUGCACUGGUCAAUCUAGUGGCGAACGGGUGAGUAACACGUGGGUAACCUGCCCAUCAGAGGGGGAUAACAUUCGGAAACGGAUGCUAAAACCGCAUAGGUCUUCGAACCGCAUGGUUUGAAGAGGAAAAGAGGCGCAAGCUUCUGCUGAUGGAUGGACCCGCGGUGCAUUAGCUAGUUGGUGAGGUAACGGCUCACCAAGGCCGUAAUGCAUAGCCGACCUGAGAGGGUGAUCGGCCACAUUGGGACUGAGACACGGCCCAAACUCCUACGGGAGGCAGCAGUAGGGAAUCUUCCGCAAUGGGCGCAAGUCUGACGGAGCAACGCCGCGUGAGUGAAGAAGGUUUUCGGAUCGUAAAACUCUGUUGUUAGAGAAGAACAAGUGCUAGAGUAACUGUUAGCGCCUUGACGGUAUCUAACCAGAAAGCCACGGCUAACUACGUG